RNAcentral lists this ribosomal RNA (478 nucleotides) under uncultured bacterium. Its description in RNAcentral is "bacterial SSU rRNA". It matches the Rfam family "Bacterial small subunit ribosomal RNA", at positions 1 to 507 of the family's 1533-position model. The record is from RNAcentral.
UAGUAGUCACGAGUUUGAUCCUGGCUCAGGAUGAACGCUAGCGGCAGGCCUAAUACAUGCAAGUCAAGGGGGUAGCAAUACCACCGGCGGACGGGUGCGUAACACGUACACAACGUACCCAAGGGAGGAGGAAAGCGGCGGGAAACUGCCGGUAAUACUCCAUGGUGUUGUUGAAUGGCAUCAUUUAACAACUAAAGUACAAGCGCCCUUGGAUCGGUGUGCGUCCGAUUAGCUAGUUGGCGGGGUAACGGCCCACCAAGGCUUCGAUCGGUAGGGGGUGUGAGAGCAUGACCCCCCCACACGGGUACUGAGACACGGACCCGACUCCUACGGGAGGCAGCAGUGGGGAAUCUUAGACAAUGGGCGCAAGCCUGAUCUAGCCAUGCCGCGUGAUCGAUGAAGGCCUUAGGGUUGUAAAGAUCUUUCAGUGGGGAAGAUAAUGACUGUACCCANAGAAGAAGCCCCGGCUAACUCCGUG